RNAcentral lists this transfer RNA (72 nucleotides) under Conticribra weissflogii. It matches the Rfam family "tRNA", at positions 8 to 61 of the family's 71-position model. Rfam says of the family: Transfer RNA (tRNA) molecules are approximately 80 nucleotides in length. Their secondary structure includes four short double-helical elements and three loops (D, anti-codon, and T loops). Lineage: Eukaryota; Bacillariophyta; Thalassiosirophyceae; Thalassiosirales; Thalassiosiraceae. The record is from RNAcentral.
GUUGGCCCAAUGGCAAGGCGCCUGACUACGGAUCAGGAAAUUCCGGAUCAGGAAAUUCCGGGUUCGAAUCCC